AGAGUUACUACUCCAAAACCCAUUGUGAACCUUACCUAUGUUCUGUUGCCUCGGCGGCGUGGUCAGCGCCCCCUCUGAAAAGAGGACGAUGCCCUCCCGCCGGCAGCACCAAACUCUUGAAUUUUACAGCGGAUUACAGUUCUGAUUUGAAAAGAAAAAACAAGUUAA
RNAcentral lists this unclassified non-coding RNA (168 nucleotides) under Scedosporium boydii. Its description in RNAcentral is "internal transcribed 1". Lineage: Eukaryota; Fungi; Ascomycota; Sordariomycetes; Microascales; Microascaceae. The record is from RNAcentral.